Molecule: ribosomal RNA, 681 nt
Filed under: Triticum aestivum (bread wheat)
Lineage: Eukaryota; Viridiplantae; Streptophyta; Magnoliopsida; Poales; Poaceae
Description: partial small subunit ribosomal RNA
Source: RNAcentral
AUGAUUGCAGAAUUUGAUAUGGUAAUGCAAGAUCACCUUAGACGUGUUGAGAACAAGGAAACCCAUUAUCACUAUCUCAGUCAUAAAAUACAAAAUGAGCUGAUAUCUCUUUUGGCUUCUGACAUCACAUGUUCUAUCAUAAAGGUUGUUAAAGAGGCCAAGUAUUUCUCUGUUAUCCUAGAUUGUACCCCUGAUGUUAGUCAUCAAGAACAAAUGACCUUUUUAGUUCGAUGUGUUAAUCUGUCUGAUGGCAAAAUAAAAAUUGAGGAGUACUUUCUGGGGUUCUUGAAAGUGGAUGACACUUCUGGCUUAGGGAUUUUCAAAGUACUGCUUGAUUCUAUUGAGUCUUUUGGCCUAAAUAUUCAAGAUAUAAGGGGUCAAGGAUAUGAUAACGGUUCUAAUAUUAAAGGAAAAUACCGAGGGGUACAAUCUAGGUUACUUGAUAUGAAUCCAAGAGCAUUAUAUAUGCCAUGUGCUUGUCAUAGCCUAAAUCUCACUCUCUGUGAUAUGGCAAAAUCAUGUGAGAAAGCUGUUUCAUUUUUUGGAAUUGUUCAACGCAUAUAUGUAUUAUUUGCUGGCUCUACAAAAAGGUGGAAUGUUUUGCUUAAACAUGUUCCUAGUUUGACCGUGAAAUCAUUGUCCAAUACUCGUUGGGAGAGUAGAAUCAAAAGUGUUACAUGA